RNAcentral lists this ribosomal RNA (497 nucleotides) under uncultured bacterium. RNAcentral describes it as "partial 16S ribosomal RNA". It matches the Rfam family "Bacterial small subunit ribosomal RNA", at positions 28 to 507 of the family's 1533-position model. The record is from RNAcentral.
GAUGAACGCUGGCGGCGUGCCUAAUACAUGCAAGUCGAGCGAAAAGAUGAGGAGCUUGCUCCUCUGACGUUAGCGGCGGACGGGUGAGUAACACGUGGAUAACCUACCUAUAAGACUGGGAUAACUUCGGGAAACAGGAGCUAAUACCGGAUAAUAUAUUGAACCGCAUGGUUCAAUAGUGAAAGACGGUUUUGCUGUCACUUAUAGCUGGAUCCGCGCCGCAUUAGCUAGUUGGUAAGGUAACGGCUUACCAAGGCAACGAUGCGUAGCCGACCUGAGAGGGGGAUCGGCCACACUGGAACUGAGACACGGUCCAGACUCCUACGGGAGGCAGCAGUAGGGAAUCUUCCGCAAAGGGCGAAAGCCUGACGGAGCAACGCCGCGUGAGUGAUGAAGGUCUUCGGAUCGUAAAACUCUGUUAGCAGGGAAGAACAAAUGUGUAAGUAAAUAUGCCCGUCAUGACGGUACCUAAACAGAAAGCAACGGCUAACUACGUG